GCCGUGGGUGUACGGAAGGAGGUGACUAAAGGGAGUCCUGCCCGCCGAGGGAACCGGAGAAAAUGUGAGCGUUAGCAACAUGGAGCUGGAAGGUAGGAAGCCCGGGGCUGUUGUCGCAGUUGUGACUGAGCCUUGCUUUACCCAGCAAUACAGGGUCUAUCUCGAGAAGCAGCAACUCUUGGAUAGACGGCAUCGUGUGGAAAAGAUGCCAGAUGGCACUGUGGCGCUCCCUGUGCUGGGAAAGACCCUCCCGGACCAGCACCUGAAGGAGCUGAGGACUCGCGUGGCCCCAGGCAGCACCUGUAUGCUGACGCAGCUCCUUCACCCUGUACCUUCAAAGGCGGCGCAGGGUUGUUCACCAGCCCAAAGGCUACGUCUGGAGGUGAGUCGCUGGGUAGAGGGCCGGGGAGUCACGUGGUCAGCUGAGUUGGAGGCUGAUUUGCCCAAAUCUUGGAAACGGCAUGGUAACCUGUUGUUGCUGAGUGAGGACUGCUUCCAAGCCAAGCAAUGGAAAAGUCUAGAACCAGAACUCUGGGAGACUGUUGCCGCGGCACUUGGCGUCCAGCGUUUAGCCAGACGAGGGCGAGUAUCACCGGAUGGCACUCGAACUCCAGCAGUGACUUUACUGCUGGGCGACCAUGGCUGGGUAGAGCACGUGGAUAAUGGAAUCCGAUAUAAAUUUGAUGUGACCCAGUGCAUGUUCUCCUUCGGAAACAUCACCGAGAAGCUGCGAGUGGCAUCACUGUCCUGUGCUGGGGAAGUGCUGGUGGAUCUUUAUGCAGGCAUUGGUUAUUUCACACUGCCAUUUCUCGUUCAUGCUGGUGCUGCCUUCGUCCACGCCUGUGAGUGGAACCCCCAUGCUGUAGUUGCUCUUAGAACAAACCUUGAGAUCAAUGGAGUAGCAGAUCGAUGCCAGAUACACUUUGGGGAUAACAGGAAGCUGAAGCUUUCCAACAUCGCGGACAGAGUGAACCUGGGGCUGAUUCCUAGCUCUGAAGAAGGUUGGCUCGUUGCCUGCCAAGUGCUACGACAGGAUGCAGGGGGCAUUUUGCAUAUCCACCAAAAUGUGGAAUCUUUCCCUGGAAAGAAUAUCCAGCCUCCUGGAAGCAGUGGAAUGGAGGAGGAGCGAUGGCCUUAUCCUCAGCAAAUUAUCAGCAAGCAAGGGAAAAAUAGAACUACCAGGGAUUCUGGAGGGGAAAUGCUGGCAGGUGCCCCCAAGCCAGAGUGGAAAAAGUGGGCAGAAUCUGCAGAAACACGCAUUGCUGCACUUCUUGAGCAAGUGCAUGGGAAACCGUGGAAGACACAAAUCCUGCACAUCCAGCCAGUGAAAUCCUAUGCCCCCCAUGUGGAUCACAUAGUCCUGGAUCUGAAAUGCUGCCCCUGUCCUCUCGUUGGUUAGAGGAGAUGGGUCCUGCGACACGAGGGAUCUGCAUGUGAGUAACCCUCAGUGCAUCAGCUCAGUUUUCUCAGAGGACUUGCUGGAGAAUAGAUUGGCCUGGUUAAGAAAAGGCAUCUAAUGGAAGCAAGCAAGAGAGACUGGAGGGUUCAGGAGGCUCACGGAGUCCUUGUCACCUCAAUCCAGGAAUUUGAAAAAGCCCUAAAGGCUUCCUUUCUGAGCUUCAGUACUGGUUGCCAGUUUAAUGCUCCCACUUUAUGGACAUGUGAUUAAAAAAAAAUUUUUGUUUCAGAACUUCCUCAACCUCGAGCUGUUCUAUUUAUUAAUGCCAUAAUUCAAAUAAAUUAUGUGCACACACUACUACAUAACUAUACUGUGUACAUUUUAAAUACAUAAACAUAGAAAAUGAUGUUUAACAUUUUAACAUAAAAAUGAUGAGAAACGAAUAGGAAAUUCAUCUCCUCCUACUCGGGCAUGCAAAUGAGAGAAAAAAAAUGUCAUUCUCAACAGCCUCGGGGUGUAGCCACUUCACAUUGGGCAGACUGUAAAACUCAUCGUUUUCAAACUAAAGCUGGGUUUUAAGUGAUUGUAACUAUUCAAAUGUUUAAAAAACUAAUAAAAAACCAGCCCAGCUCAUACAUUGCUGGUGGGACUGUAGAAGGGUACAGCCACUUUGGAAAACAGUUUGGUAGUUCCUCAAAAUAUUUCAGAUAGUUCCUGUAUGACUCAGCAGUUCCAUUCCUAGGUACAGGUUUCCCCUGCUAUCCGAAAAUAGAGCGUUCCUAUGAAACCUUUGUAAGCCAAAAUGGCGUCAAGCGAACAAUUAUCAUUAAUUUGUAUGGGAGAAAUUUUUGAGCAUUCCCAGGCCCAAAAAAUAACCUACCAAAUAACACAUAAAACCUAAAAUAAUACUAAAAUAUACUAAAAGCAGGAAUGAUAUGCUUACAGACACAGGUCAAAGCUAUGGCGGCCUGAUGCUGAGUGUAGUUCCCGGGGAAGGAACUUGGCGACACCACUCUAGCUGCUCAGGUGCAUGCUGCUCUUUAAUGGCUCACUGCAAUUUUCGCUUUUCGAAGAAGUGAAAAUCCACGUUGGAUUCGGUUAGUGAAAACAGGUACUAAUGUAGGUCUUUUGUAAAAGCAAAGUGGCAUAAAGCGAACUUUUGAAAAGCAGGGUAUACCUGUAUAAACUUAACAGCAAUGAAAACAUACAUUUACAUUAAAACUUGUACAUGAAUGUUCAUAGCAGCAUUAUUGAUAAUAGCCAGAAAGUAGAAGCAACCCAAAACUUCAACAGAUGAAUGAAUAAACAAAAUGCGGUAUAUCCAUACAAUGGAAUAUUCAGCCAUAAAAAUGCUUAAUGAAGUGCUGAAACGUGCUACAAAGUGGAUGAACCUCAAAACCAUAUACUAAGUGAAAGAAGCCAGACACAAAAGGCCACAUAAUAUGAUUUCAUUUAUACAAAAUAUUCAGACUAGGUCAAUCCAGAUUAAGGUUUUGCAGAAUGCAGAUUAUAGUUGUUGGGGCUGGAGGGAGAAGAGAAUGGAGAGCACCUGCUAAAUGGGUAAAUUUUUCCUUUUGGAGUGAUGAAAAUGUUUUGGACGCUGUGUCACUGAGUUAUUUACUUUAAAACGGUUAAUUUUACGUAAAUUACACCUCAGUAAGAAGUUCUUCAAAAAGAAAAAAAAAUAAAACUGGGCCUUCUGGUGUUCUGAGUAGACUGUACAAGAGCUUUUAUCCUGGAGUCUGACCUUCAUUUCAAGUCAAAUCUCCAUGUUCUGUUUAACAUAGAAUCACGGAAUUUUAGAGCGUGAAAAGGCCCACUUUCUCUUCCUUAGCUGGGCACCAUUGUUCCCUGGCCCCCACAGCUUAGAUGAAUCUUCCCGCUGUUUAGUAGCCCUUUGCAUGAAUAAAACCUAUAGAUCUUUAUUUUUUAUUUUAAAACAUUCCAACAGUUUUGCUCACAAUUGUACAUGGCUUUUAAAAAUGCAAAUAAUGCAGGUAAGUAAUGAUAGGAAAUAACAUUUCUCUGCCCUAUUCCCCACUUCCCAUGGCAACCUCACAAGAUAAGUGCUAUUCACAGUUACAGUUUGGAGUUCAUUUUUCGAUUCCUUCUCUCUCAGCCCAAAUGUAUUUUCAUGUUGUGAUUAUACUAUUACACAUACAAUACAUAUUGUUUGCUUAUUUUUUUAAUUUUGGACUAUAUUAUAGGACAACUUUCAUGAUCCAUACUACAGAUCUUCAUAAUUCUUUUUACUCCC
Trichechus manatus latirostris (Florida manatee) is the source of this 3656-nucleotide RNA transcript. It is a transcript of the gene named tRNA methyltransferase 12 homolog, with no coding region annotated. The transcript is spliced from 2 exons. NCBI's taxonomy places the organism in Eukaryota, Metazoa, Chordata, Mammalia, Sirenia, Trichechidae. The record is from RefSeq and is a predicted model, not a curated record.